Molecule: ribosomal RNA, 393 nt
Filed under: uncultured bacterium
Lineage: Bacteria
Description: partial 16S ribosomal RNA
Rfam family: Bacterial small subunit ribosomal RNA
Source: RNAcentral
AUACGGAGGAUGCAAGCGUUAUCCGGAUUUAUUGGGUUUAAAGGGUGCGUAGGCGGUUUGCUAAGCGGGAGGUGAAAUGCCGGCGCUCAACGUCGGAAGUGCCUCCCGAACUGGUGGACUUGAAUGACUCUGCCGUGGGAGGAAUGUGUAGUGUAGCGGUGAAAUGCUUAGAGAUUACACAGAACACCGAUUGCGAAGGCAUCUCACGAAGGGUUGAUUGACGCUGAGGCACGAAAGCGUGGGGAUCAAACAGGAUUAGAUACCCUGGUAGUCCACGCAGUAAACGAUGAUUACUAGCUGUUUGCGAUACAAUGUAAGCGGCUGAGCGAAAGCGUUAAGUAAUCCACCUGGGGAGUACGUUCGCAAGAAUGAAACUCAAAUGAAUUGGCGGGG